UCCAGAGGAAAAGAAGGAAAAGGUCCCCGCCGGAACCGGAAAUACCCUCCCGUUCGAGCAAAAAUGGCGGCCCCCGUUAUUCACUCCUGCCUAAGAUGGCGGCGCCUCGUAAGUCAAAAGGCGAGAUGAAAUGGCAAAACUUUAUGGUCGCCUCCGCCAUGCAACAUAAUUUGGCAGUGCCAUGCCAAGUCAUUCUGAAACCAACUCCACCAGGUGUUUAAAAAGGCCCCUCAAACAUCCACUGAGGCGUGAUGUAUAAGAAGACGAAGAGGGGACGGGCACAGACAGCAUGUUCCCAUAAGGAACGUCCGGCGCCUUCCCUGCCCCCACGUGGCACAGCGCGAGCCCUGCCUUUUCCGCUUGGUGGUCUGGAGGGCCAGGCUGAGGGAGCUCAAUUUCGAGGUGAGAACUGCCAGUAACGAGGGCAACUCCUCCCUGGAGAGGUUUUUGCUUUGAGGGAAUUGGCUGAGGCACUCCCUGUCCGGAAGGACCUAGUCCAGGCAGAAGUAAACACAGGAACAGGUUACGGAGCGGAAAACCGGGGAGGAACGAACAAUCGGCCCGUGGGCUGCAUGUCCGUCCCCGGCUCCCACCUGGGCAGGAGCGCGGAGAGCCGACGCAGAGACAGAGACCCCGAGAGCAAAGGCCUCCGGGUUCUGACUUACGGGUCUCGAGUGAAAGCGGGCUCUGAGCCUCACCGCCUCUCAGGCAGGUCUGCGGGUCUGGGGAGUCCAGACGUGCCCCUAAGGAGGUUCCACCUGCCUGGGACACCGUGGAUCAGGGUUCCCAGGUUGCCUACCGGCCUCCUGUUUAGCCGCAUGGUACGUGAAUAUGUAGUGCCUCCUUGAUAACUGAGAGACGAUGCUGGCAGGCAGCGCUCCUGUCACAUAUUUUUUGAAGGGGGAGAGGUACCAGGGUGGUACCAUUCGCUAUCAUCUAAGCAAAAUAAGGGGGGGGGGAAUUAUACAUAAUAAGUAUUUAUUUUCUGUUUGUAACAUGUAUUAAUUUUAGUUUCAUAUCUGUGAAAUGAGGUUGGAAAUAAUAGUACCCACCCAAAAUGGUGUUGAAAAGAGUAAAUGAGUUAUGGUAGGUAAAGGGCCCAGAACAAUGCUUGGCAGAAUAAAUGCAGGCAAACUUAGCACCUCUUGGGUACCAGGCCCUGUUUUAGGUCUUGAGGGAUACAGCUGUGAGCAAGAGGGGGGUGAGGACCAGGUUUUUUUGGAGUUUACAUUUGAUGGAGUGAGGGGGAAGGAAAUUGGAGCAAAGAGACGAAGAAGGAGACAGCCCUGUGGAUACACGGGAGGAUAAGGUUCUGGGGGCAGGGAUGCUCAGUGCAAAACAUCCUGGAGGUGUUGGAAGUGCUGAAAACCGAACAGUGAGAUAGGCGUGAGGGGCAGCUGACAGAGGGCCCGCAGUCUGGGGGAAAGAACAUGGCUCCUCAGGGUGGUUGCUGUUCUGAGUAGGCUUCAAGGGCUCCAGUUGCGAAGGUCAUUUAAAUGCCUCCGUAGCACCCCCAAUUAGCUGUCUUUUUCUUCUAACACUAAACUCGAAGUCGACCCCAACCCUGACCUGUUUUGGUAAUGGGAGACCCUUACUUUCACCCACACCAGUAUCCAGUUCACUGUUCAUAGCUCGGGUCGUGCCAGUGCCCUGGGCGGUUGGGACAAAUAGAGAGGUGAGAGAUUUCCACGCUGUGGAAAUGCACAGAGCAAACACUCCCCUGUGUUGGCCUGUACAUGCAGAGGAUUUCCUCUCAGUUCAAGAAUACGCGUUCCUUCAUCUCCUGCCUUCACCCAAGAGAUCCUUGGUUAGUCAUAUUAUAUUUACUCCUCUCGAGAAAUCUCAUUUGGCUCUCUGUAUUCUUGAAUUUUGCUAAGGAGCCCCUGUGGAAUCAACAUCUCUGAAAGAGGGCCAGGAGGACAGGUUUAAAACAAGCCUCCCAGGUCUCUCACGCAUGCUCAAGGACUCGACCUUUCGUCACCACCAGGCCCCUUUCCAGAGGGGGCCGUUCCUCGGCUAGCCUCGUCCUCCCCAGGCUCACCUCUGCGCAGCCCUUUCCCAGAGUCCUCUGGCCACAGAGACCAAGAUUUCUGUAGGUGUCUUUGGCCUCCCGCAAUUCCAUGGGCGUCUCCCUGUACCGGCCCCUGGCAGUGCCCCCUCCUCUGGGGCCAAGGGGGGGAAUCUCGGGUUUUCCCCUGGAACCCACCAAUACCCAUCUGGCAAUGUCAGCAGAGGAGAGGGAGAAAUGGAAUAUAGUGGAGUUCCCAGAUGACCAGACUGUAGGAUUUGGGCUUUUCCACCUUGGAGUUUUUCUCCAAUCAUCACCACCUGGUCUCUCCUCUCUUGGAGAAGAUUCUGGCAAGCCACAAAACCACUGAGGGGUAUUCAUGAAUUGAGGGAGGCCUGACCCUGACUCUGGGGACACUUUGGGUAUAGCUAGGGGCAGGGAUGGCAUGUAGCAGCAGCCUUUCCCUCUCAGCCCAAGCUGGAGUUGAGCCCCAUACAUGCCUGCUUCCGUUUGGGGCCCCAAGGCUCCCUGCUAGGCAUGUGGACCCACCUGGACUCCUCAAGCCUGGCCCUUUCCAGGGGGCUGACUUCUCUUGGCUGCUAGACGCAUCCUAAGAAUAAGCCUGUGCUUUCCACAGUAGUCUGCUGCCUGCCCAAGCAGGCCUGGGUCCGGCCUUUGGGCCUUUUCAUCCUGGGUCUUUGAUCUUUCCCUCUAGGAGGCAGAAAUCUGUUGGAGGGCUCCACCUGACCUUGGGUGAAAUUGGGGAAAGUUACUCUGCAGAGCCUUCUUUCAGCUCCCCAGGCCACCCCUCUCGUAUGUUCCCCACCCACUGGUCCCAUGCCCUGGGCUGCCUGUCCUCUCCUCUGUCCCCACUGGCAGCCUGUCCUCUGGGCUGCCUGUCCUCUCCCAUGUCCCCACUGGCAGCACUUCCAUUCCCACACAAGGUAAACAUCCCAAAAGAGAAUUUGGAGAUUCUUUUCUAAGGAAGUCUGUCUCACCAUUCCUUUUCUGCUGGGAAUCCCUAAGAUCAGCACAGCGGGGAGAAGCCCCUCUGGUUUCCCUGCUAGAGGCCCAUGACCUCUUCUAGGAACAGAGGCCUCUGUUCCCUCCUGCCAGCAUUCAGGAGGUGAGACAGGUCUUCCCUUGAAUGAAGUGAUGAGUACUGUUGUGGGUGAUAGGUGAGGGGCUGAGGGAAAAGGUUGCGGCCAAGACUACAGGGCCUCUGUCAGCUAAAGCAAGUGUCUUCCCUUCAUUUUGCUGUUCCUCUGUAGAUUCAGUAUGGUUGGCACCAUACUCCUUUUAUGGCUACGCUGGCUCUCCCCAUUCCUCCAUCAGUUCUCUCCCACACAGGAGGCCCACUAUAUCCCACCCCCACUUUCCUUAGUUAACUAAGCUUCCUCAGGUCUCAAUUCAGGUUGUACCUCAGAGAAACCCUCUGUGACUCUCAAGUCUGGGUUAGGCUCCUUGUUUCAUGCCCUGAUUGUGUGGUGUGUGGGGCCUCCACAAACUUAACUCAAUCUGCCCUUAUUUGAAUCUGUCAGGGCUUUACUCAGUGCCCUGAGGUCAGGGACUGGUCUGUUUUGUCUCAUAUGCUGUUGCUGGUACAGGGUUUGGUUGUGGAAGAUUCUAACCUUGGUCACCAGCCUCAUAGGCUGAAUAGUUAAAACCAAGUAUUUAAAGGGUGUUUCAGGUGGAGGGAUCACCAUGGGGAAGAGGUAUUAGAGUGGUUUGCAUGCAGAAGUUUGGGGGAUCGUUUCAAAUGGGAAGGUAGGAGAGUGAAACCCAAGGUGUUCAGGGAGCCCCUACUGGGAAGGAGUUGUCUGCUGAAGAAUUUUGUCCUGAAGCCUAGGACUGCCUCAUCAGUAUUAUCUAAUCCCUCUCCUGCCUAGACUUGAUUUUGCUGACAGUCAUUCGUUGUCAGUAGAAGGUAGGUUGGAGGAGUAAGACAAGAAAUAAGAGGAAUUCAGAAGCUGGACAGGAGGGUCUAUAGGAUGGUCAUGAGAGCCCUACAAAAGGAGGGACUGAGGACUUCCCAAUGGCCUUGAGUGAGGGAUUCAGCAUCUCCUCUAAUCUAUUUCUAUCCUUCCUACCAUACCUCUUUCACUCCAGUAUCUAGAAUUGGGCUCUGAUUAUAGAAACUAUUUCCUGAUCUAGGCCUAGAGAAUUAAGCUCAAAAAGGUUGGAAGGAAACAUAGAAAGUUCUGUUGUUCUUGUAGGUCCUGUUCCAUUAUCCUGGUGAGGUGGGAUAUGAUAUUAAGUCAAUGCCAGAAACAGAUGUUACAAAGAAAUCACAUAUCGUUUAUGUUUCUUAGUAAAUAUUUAGUGUCCAUCUUAGGCAGGAAUCUGCAGUCAGUCAGAUUUUCUAACAGUCCCCUGGAAAACUGCUAAGGAACUCUGUUGGGUUUUCCCUGGGAGAUGGACUGUAGGAUUCCCCCUGGCCUUAAGUGCUCCAGCAGAUAUGCAGUCGAAGAUUGUGGAGGUGGGCAUGAUCCAGGCAGGUAUGGACCGUAGUCCAGGUAGAAUUAUAAGAUAUGCUAGGAGAAUGCAAGCCUCUGGCUCGUUAAAGGAUUUAAAACAGCAUUAGGUGGUAGGGAGAAACAAGAGGUGACACAAGGUGCCUUUUUUCAACUUUUUACCUGGAAGAGAAUUUGAUAUAUGUUCUAUUGAUAGAACAUAUUCUAAUAUGUUGAAAUGGAACUAUGAGGUUGGCCAGCUUACCACAAGAUAAGAGGGCUGAAGAGGAAAUAAUCCUUCCUGCUCAUACUCAGGUUAAAUAGCCAGAGCUUGUUGAGAAAUUCCGUCCUUUGGUAGAGGAGAGGAUUCUAUGUACUUAGGAAAUGGCAGAUUAAAAGGGGGUGUGACCUCUAGGGAUCCUCUUCCAGGUGACCUUGGUCCUUCAUCUUUGUGGGGCCCUGCUGGGUACCAAGUGGAAUUGUCAAUCAGAAGUCUCUGACCAACUCUGCAUCUGAGUCCUUUAGGAUGAGGUAAAAGAUUAUGAAGGCCUAAGCAUGAACUUCAGUAGAUAUGGAAGAAUAAGCCCCUCCCUGUUUGUUAAGGCUAUUUCUAGUUCAAAUCUAUUUAAGGCCAUUUUCUUCCUCCUUUGGGACGGGUAGAGGUGGGAGAAGAGUAGUAACUUAGAGAGCCAAGAGAGCCAUUUUCUUCCUUUGCUCGUCUACUGUCACAUCUCUUCCUACAACUCAUAUGCUUAGAUGAGCUGUUUCCCCAUACCCAGGGUUCUCAUUCUCUACUUCUGAGGACUCUGGUUUGUGGGCAAAGACUGUAUCAUUAAAAGUUAAGUUUGUCACCACUUUUAGCUCUCACAGUCUCCUCCUUUUCAGUCCUGUUAUUCCUACAACCUCUCACUUUCUCUUUUCUCAUUAUCACUGCUAGCAAACUGCUUUCCUUUCUAGGACUCCAUGAUCUCUCUACCACCACCCUCUGUCAGGAUUUAGGUGUGAGAGGAGAAAGGGAAGAACCCACUAACCUACUUUAAUGCUAGGUUUUCCCCCAUAUCCCAUUGUCAAAAAGUCAGGAACCAAGUAACUAAUUAUUUAUACUUAUAUUCCUCCUAUUUUGAGGCCCCAGCCUGGCUCUUUUUCUGGGAAGAGGGUAAUGCAGCUUGUUUUUUAGCUUUUUCCUAUUAGAAUUCUCCCCUAUCAUAUUUCCCACAUGUGAUCCAUAUGAAUCACAAGUAGAGCUAGUUCAAGACUGUUUUAGUCAUAUUUUAAAAAAAAGUACAAGAAGGCCUUCUUUUAAAUAUUUUCUUCUAUGCCUAAAAAUACCACCUUCGAGCUUACCUCUCUCUCUCUCUUUUUUUAAAGAUUUUAUUUAUUUAUUCAUGAGAGACAGAGAAAGAGGAGAGAGAGAGAGGCAGAGACACAGGCAGAGGGAGAAGCAGGCCCCAUGCAGGGAGCCCGACAUGGGACUGGAUCCCGGAACUCCAGGAUCACGCCCUGGACUGCAGGCAGGCACUAAACCGCAGAGCCACCCAGGGAUCCCAGAGCCUACCUCUCUUGAUUGGGAAAAGAGUUGUCUCAUUUCUUUUUCAUUUUCCCCUUCAGACUUGGCUCUACUCCUGAGAAUCCUAGAAAGGAUCAGAAUUCAACCUGCCUUGUUUCUAUGGAACUGUACAAUUAAAUGUGAUUUGACAGCCACCAGUCAUAUAUGGCGAUUUCAAAUUAAUUAAAAUUAAAUACAAUGAAAAAUUCAGUUCCAUAUUGCAUUAGGCAUAUUUCAAGAGCUCAAGCCAUAUGUAGCUAGUGGUACCUACUAUAUCAAACAGCAGAUUUAGAACACUUCCGUUGUUGCAAAGUCCUUUUAGACCUGGUAUGGCAGGCUGUCUUGUGUCCCCCUUUUUGUUAUCCUAUUUUAUCAGUCAAUAAAUGUUUGUAAUAACUUCACCGUUGCAGGGUAACUUUCAGAGUGGGUCAGGGAUUGGGGAUGGGAAAUAGCAUAGAAUCUGUAGGUCCUGUAAAGGUUUCUGGAGGCAUGGCAUAGAGGCCAGUGGCAGAGGAGACUUCGGUUUCAAGGAAGUGCUUUAGGGGCUGAUGUUAUAUGUAUUAACCCAGGACUACCCCACUCUAACAGGAGCAGACAGGCUCUGGUUUUAUAAGUUUUGCAUAAUGCUUAAAAACCAAAGCAAAAAAAAUAACUGCUCUAUGAUCCUGCUGGAACUGAUGUUUGCUGAUUUCCUUUUCUUACUCAUCAUUCAUUUCUAGAUCUUCAUUUCAUAUACUGCUUUAUCUGUCAUAGUCCUUUUCCCCCAAAUGGCAGUGACAGGCAGCUCUGGUUUAAAAAAAGGUUUGCUGACUCUGACACCUGCCUGCCAAGAGCUCAGAGAAGUAGGAGUCCUAUCAAUUAAUCAAUUUACUAAGACUGCAUUUAAUAAGGUUCUAGCUAGGUGGAGCUGUUCUUCCAUUGAACACUUUUAAACACCUAGGUCUCAGUCACUGGCUAUAGGGCAUAAGUAAAGCUGGUAAUGGCACAUCUGUGGAUUUGACCACUUACCCUGAGUCUAGACUAAUGAUUCUCAAACAUGGGUGAUUUUGCUUCCCUCAACCCUCUCCACAAGACAUCUGGAAAUGUUGGGAGACGUUUGUGGUUUUCACAGCUGGUGGAGAGGUGCUACUUACGUCUGACUUCCAUCCUACUCUAUCCAAGGGUGCUGUGAGCCAUCCUGCAAUGCACAGGAUGCCCCCCCACCCCCUGCAAAGGAUUACCUUACUCAAAAUGUCAGUAGUGCUGAGGCUGAAAAACACUGGUCUAGACUACAGCAUGGAAGUUCUUAAAGCCAAGAGUACUCAUAAGGUCCAGGCUCAGUGAGAUAAUAAUUAGGGCCAGCAAAUGUCUGUUAAAUUGAGAAGGAAGAAAAUUAGCAAUCAGUGGGACUGUGGCCUCCAUAAAACCGAAGGGCAGGUAUAAUUGGAGUGUGUUUGACUACACUAGAAGGCUAAGAGCUAAGGUCAUAGUGCAGUUGGAGGUGAGGAUUUCAGAUGUGUAGCAAGUCUGUGUAAAGAUGAGGUCCCAGGUACACCCACAGGAACAGCUUGUAGCAAGUUUAAACACUCUGACUUGUGAUACAGCAGUCAACAGCUGAACCUAGUAGGAAAAACAUUCAAUAAACAUUAGAAUCUGGUGAAUGUGGAUAUACCAGUUUUUCUGAAUGUUUCUGUAACGCAUACCUCUACUUUUCAUACACCUAAAAAUCUCACAUUCUGUCACCUUCAGUGUUAUUUAAAAUUUCACAAUUAAGUAUCAUGACUAAAAAUCAAAGCAGUGACAAUUUUGGGAAGCAAAAUUUAUUCAGAAGAUGUGAUAACCAUGUUACUGUUAAGCUUUAACUUUUCUUUCCUGGGUGGUAUAGAAGAUGUAACAAAACACAAGCGGCUUUAACAAUAAUCUUGUAUUGUUUUCUCCCCGCAGCAAGAUAUAUACCCCCCCAUAAGAGCUUUUAAGAUGUAAAGAGAAAAUGGAAUAAACUCUUCUCAUCUGUUUAGACAUUUUACAUCCCAGUUUCUCUAUAGAGUACUUAUAUGAAAGUUUCUAGUCAAAACAAUCAGACUUUGAGUUACACAUAGUCCCCUUGAAAUUCUUUAAGUGAGAACAAAAUAUCAGUGAAAACAUUCUUUCUUAAAACACCACAAGUAGGUUUUAAGAACAGUAACCCAAAAUAGCUCUGGCUAUUUAAGUUUUUUUUUUUUUUUUUUUGUAAUAACAUUUAUGAAUCUAGUCCUUGAAAGAUUGGCCAAGCAAAUUAGACAUAUUUAGUAUGAGUUUGCUAUGUGUAGCUGGAUUUCUGGCCAAUCUUGCUUAAAGUUUUUUGUAACAAGCAGUGAUGUUGGUGACUGCUUUUUGACAUUUCAUGGUCAUGGUAUCUUAAGCUUCAAUGCAUUAAAUUCUGCUGAGUUUUAAUUUUUGAAAUUUUAAAGUAUAGAUUCUCUUUAGAUGAUGUUCCAAAAUCAGAGGGUUAUUUUGUCAUUGGCGUUCCAAAAUCAGUUCUGUCCAUAAAUUCAGCUGAAUACAGUUCUUUGACAACCAGGGAACCUCAGUUUGUAGGAGCAAAUACUCUCAAAGGCAUUCUAAACUGAUCUUCAAAAAUCAAGGCAAACUGGGAUCAAACCAGGGUUAUGCUGACAGCAAGGUGAGGAUUUCCAGUAGAUUACUGGCCUAUUGAUGGAAGUUGAUGCUUGGUGGUGAUGGCUACAAUACAGUUUUCUUCAGUUUCUUUGCCAAAAACCAAGGUCGAAAGCAUUCCACUGCUGUAGCACUACCAAUGUAUACCUUUUUCCCUCCAUCAGUUCAUUUGCUAUAGCUUCAAAAAUACUGUCUUUAGUGAACAAGUAUUAGGCUUAUGAAACCAGCACACUCACAGUUUUUAAAGCCUAUUUCAAACAUAAGCAAAGCACAUUUUUAUCAGGAUAUUCUUCUCAACUAAGCAAAGAAGGAUGAGCUAAUGUUUUUAAAAACUGAGUUUUCAUAUACUCAGUCAUUAAUUCAGAGUUAAGAUUAUAGAAGUAGAUGAACAAAGUCUGGAAUUCCUCAAUUUGCUCUCAACGUUGUGGCGGCACUUGGAAUGCAACACUUCGCAAGUUUCUCCAUUUUUUUCUCCCUUGCAGUUAGAAGGGCUAUUUAAUAUUAUGCUUUCAUAGCCUUUGAAGAUUGCUGUUAGUAUUCCAAUACUGUCCAGUCUUAAAGCUGCAGAGAAUUGUGCUUUGCAGAAUAUGCCACUGUUUUUAUGUCAUAAAUUUAACAGUGUUUGGCAUGGUGUCACUGCCCAACAUUUUCAGGUAACUCAACUGAAGAAGUUGACCCUAUCUUCUGCAUCAUAAUAUGAAUAUAUACUUGAUAAAAGCCUUAACAAUUUUUUUUGGUUGCCAUCUUUAGCUACCUCAAAGGAGAAAACAGAAAAAGGAGGAGUAUUGAUUAUGGAAGCAUCUGGUCCUUCUUGCCAAACGAUGAAUGAUUUUAUUGGUGGCAGAGAAGUACAGGCAUCCAGUUAUGCCUGUGCCCCAAGAAGUGAAAUCGUUGUUCAUUUCUUUUUUAUACACCCAUCUGCUGCCUAAAACCUGACACCAUUUAAUGGUGUCCUUGGUCAAAUAUAAAUGAUCUUACUUUCAUAAUCUUCUUUUUUUUUUUUUUAAAGAUUUUAUUUAUUUAUUCAUGAUAGUCACAGAGAGAGAGAGAGGCAGAGACAUAGGCAGAGGGAGAAGCAGGCUCCAUGCAGGGAGCCCGAUGUGGGAUUCGAUCCAGGGUCUCCAGGAUCAUGCCCUGGGCCAAAGGCAGGCACCAAACCGCUGCGCCACCCAGGGAUCCCACUUUCAUAAUCUUCUGAUUCUAGCUUGAAUUUCAGAGUCAAGAUGAACUCUCAUGGGAUGGACAAAAUGGAAGAUGUAAAUAAGUAAGUUUUUCAGAGCUAAAAAGCCUCUUUUUAUACAAAAUUAAACUUUAAAAGAAUAUUAACCUCAAAACAACAUUAAUCAUCUUGGAUAUAUUAUAAAAAUAGCAGUAUAAAUAGCACUAUACCCACAGUAAACAUCUAUGGCUACCCAGCCUGUCAUACCUCAUUAAUUAUAGGCCUCACUCUGAAUGCUUCUUGUUCUAUCUUUGUAUUCCCACCAGCCAAAGAGUUCUUAACACACUAAAUAUAAUUUUAUAAACUAUAAAUUCCCAUAUCUGCAAUGCUAAUAUAAUUUGUGGAGGGAGAAAAUGCCUUUCUCUCCUAUUUCUGAAAAUCACGGACUACUCCUUAAGAAUUUGAGUAACAACCCCCUACUCAGUCCCUAAAAUUAAAAAGCCUGCUCACCUCCAAAAUAGAUUUAAAAAUGUGUUGAAUUGGUAGCUGACAAGAAUUCUUUGUAACCAGAACCGUGUGAUGGCUAAUGCUUAACAUUAAAUAAAUCAUUAUACAAAAUUGGUUCCUUAUAAUUUUAACUAUUAUUAUGAGUUUUAUUCAGUAAAAUUCUAAGUUAUGCUACUGUAAUGUAUCUGUUGACCAAUGAACGGCAGUAACAAAACUAUGUCAUGAAUUACUAAGUUUAUACAUACGUAAAAGUUUUUACCUCUGCAGUGUAAUUCCUAUGUUUGGCAAUACCAUCUACCUAAAUUCUGGUGUAUGUUUAAAAAUAAAAGUUUUAUUUCUUUUUAAAUAUUCUA
Long non-coding RNA from Canis lupus familiaris (dog), 10660 nucleotides. RefSeq lists it as uncharacterized. The transcript is spliced from 2 exons. Lineage: Eukaryota; Metazoa; Chordata; Mammalia; Carnivora; Canidae. The record is from RefSeq and is a predicted model, not a curated record.